GUGAACUCCGGUCCGUCUGCCCGUGUAAUACGGAGGAUCCAAGGGUUAACCGGAAUCAUUGGGGUUAAAGGGGACGUAGGCGGCCUUAUAAGUCAGCGGUGAAAGUUUUUGGCUUAACCAAAAAAUUGCCAUUGAUACUGUAGGGCUUGAAUAUUUGUGAAGUAACUAGAAUAUGUAGUGUAGCGGUGAAAUGCUUAGAUAUUACAUGGAAUACCAAUUGCGAAGGCAGGUUACUAACAAAUGAUUGACGCUGAUGGACGAAAGCGUGGGUAGCGAACAGGAUUAGAUACCCCAGUAGUC
RNAcentral lists this ribosomal RNA (300 nucleotides) under uncultured Halobellus sp. RNAcentral's name for it is "bacterial SSU rRNA". It matches the Rfam family "Bacterial small subunit ribosomal RNA", at positions 496 to 795 of the family's 1533-position model. The record is from RNAcentral. Lineage: Archaea; Methanobacteriati; Methanobacteriota; Halobacteria; Halobacteriales; Haloferacaceae.